RNAcentral lists this long non-coding RNA (1359 nucleotides) under Amazona collaria (yellow-billed parrot). RNAcentral's name for it is "lncRNA (ENSACOG00000013986.1)". The record is from RNAcentral. Lineage: Eukaryota; Metazoa; Chordata; Aves; Psittaciformes; Psittacidae.
CCAUUAAGGCCAGGAACUGCAGAGCAGCGUCGCUGAAAGGGAGUGAUGGGGGAUGUUAAUUAUAACAGAGAGAGUCACUAUUUAUUUUUUGUAGUAGUGCCAUAUGAAUGUAUCUCGGUUUUACAAAAUGGGUGCCUUGUUAUAUUAUUUAUGCCUUGAAAUCCCUGUUUUCUGGGGGGAUUUUUGACACUAGCCUGGGUCUGCGUAUAAAGAAAUGAAUUGUAAUAAUAUAAAGAACAACGAUGGGAAAUCCAGAGUGUGGCUUCCAGGGGGUGUUCCCAGCAUGAGAAGUGAUCCCAAGGAGGCUGACACAGGGAUUUAGCCAAGUGGGUCUAAGGCUUCCUCCCUGUACGCAAACCCUCCUUUCCGUGAACUCCUCAUGUCCUCAUUUGGGAAGAAUCCAGUGGGUCAGUAAGAAGAUAAGUAGGAAAAGUGACCCUUGGCUGCGUCAGUGGAGGCAGAGCUCACUCUGGUGACUGCUUGUGCCUUUUGGAGCUCGAUAACCCUGCUGUUGGCAGGAGUGUGGAUGAAACCCAGCCUGUCUCACCUUCCCGCUUGCAGAAGACGAAAUCCAGCUCAGCUGCACCUUUAACUCCUUGGAUUGAGGGAACAGCGACGGCUUGAACAGGCUCUGCCAUGAGCAGAGUCGUGUCGGAGCAGCUCCCACCGCGCUGCGAGAGCCCUGCCUGCCCCUCGGAUCCAGCAUGAGGGUUGUGCAUCCAUCCUGAUUCCUGCAGGGAUGUGGUCCUGUGCCAGCAUCCUCAACCCCACACCACAAACCCACAGCCUUUGACUGCCACCUACAACGGAGCCACUGCAAAUCCCUGCUUCUCCCACCUCAUUCAUCAUCUCCUCUCCUCGUCCCAGCCUUCUCCAUGUGCUCCUCUCUGGAUUUCUCCCUUCACAAGAUCCUGCUGUGAGGCUUUUCCCUGGCUCCCGACAGAGACUGGCGGGCAAAUUGGUUGGGAUUUAACUCGGGCCACUUUGUUGUCCCCAAACACUGAGAUUUAACCACAUUUAAAUGACCUCUCUUCAGUCAGACCCUGCACGGCUCCCCUUUAUCACGGUUACGUUGCAUAAAGACACUAUAUUUUCCCAAGAAGCUGUAAUUUGAACUGGAAAUGGGAUGUGUUUUGCAAUGAUGUUGGUUUUGCAGGAGUUUGGGGUAGGAUUUUAAGGUUUUUGGGGUGGUUUGAUAAAGGAAGUGGUGCUGAAUUAUGGCCAGAGUGGGGAUUGAUACCCCACAGGCACUGAAGUGAGGUUGGUUCCCAUCACUUGAUACUUCCCAGUGGGUUAUUAACCAAAUACAGGAGAAAUGGCUGGAGAUGCACUGGUUCCUCAUGCACACCACAGGAUGAG